UUCUUACGGGGGGCAGCAGUGGGGGAUAUUGCACAAUGGGGGAAACCCUGAUGCAGCGACGCCGCGUGGGUGAAGAAGCGCCUCGGCGCGUAAAGCCCUGUCAGCAGGGAAGAAAAUGACGGUACCUGAAGAAGAAGCCCCGGCUAACUACGUGCCAGCAGCCGCGGUAAUACGUAGGUGGCAAGCGUUGUCCGGAUUUACUGGGGGUAAAGGGCGUGCAGCCGGGAAGACAAGUCAGAUGUGAAAUCCCGCGGCUCAACAGCGGAACUGCAUUUGAAACUGUUGUUCUUGAGUACCGGAGAGGG
RNAcentral lists this ribosomal RNA (305 nucleotides) under uncultured bacterium. Its description in RNAcentral is "bacterial SSU rRNA". It matches the Rfam family "Bacterial small subunit ribosomal RNA", at positions 336 to 658 of the family's 1533-position model. The record is from RNAcentral.